GGCGCCGCUGUGUUCGGCCUGCUACUGGAGGAGAGGAUGGAGCCAGGUCUGCUGUGGUGGCUGGUUUGGGAAAGAAAAAGAAUGAAAACGGGGAGGGGGCUGCUCUGGUUUGGGAGAAGAAGCUGGAAAUGUGCAAACAAAAGGGGGGUCUUUUCGUGUCUUCUCUGGUGGUCUUUUUGACCAAGAAAAUGGGAAGGCUUUGGGCGGCUUGUGGGUUUUAUUUCUCUCCGGUUGUCUUUUCUCCGGUUGUCUUUUUUUUUUGCAGAGGGGGAAUCGGCUGGAAGGAGAAAAUGGGGGACCGGCUUCUGUGUGGCAGGUCUUGGCCGAGUGACUUUUAGUGCUCCCUAGCUCUUGGUGUUGAAGACCGCCGGCUUGUUUUUUUGGCCAGGAGAGGGAGAGUUUUGUGUAAAAAUGGGGGAGAAGGAGAUGAUCUCAAAGGAGCUGGGGAUCGUGGGUCUCUGCCCACUACUCUCGGGACCCGGCGAAAAAAAUGGCUCCAAUCUCCCUCUCUUGCAAAACUAAGAAUGAGAAGAAAUAGGGGCUUUUCUCGUGAGGAGAGCCAACAAGGAAAAGAAGUCCUGGGUGGGGGCUGAGUUCAUCAUUUUUAGCCGAAAGAGAGGGAUUAAAUAAUGGUCUUGGGCCAGGGGCAACGGCUAGUUUCGGGUGAAGAGAAAAAAAAAAAUUUCUUAGGUUGCCCCUUCUUCCAAAAUUCAAAAUUCGAUAUACAUAGGCAAAAAUAUUGUUUCGGCCUCAAAAUUGGUCCCUUAAUUUUCUUUUUUUUGUAAAAUUUGAUUUUUCUUGUUUUUUUGUAUUUUUUUGAAAACGAGCAAUAUCAACGUCGACUCAAAUACGGAAAAUCAAUUAUUUUUAAAAAUGACGCGUGAAAAGUCGAACGCGUUCGAAAGACCCUUAAAAAAUUUAAAAAAAAAUUAGACGACGUUGAAAAUGCUAAAAUGACAAAAAUAUAUUAAAAACAUAUUUUUUUGGAUUUUCUUUGUAUUUCUCUAUUUUUGGAUUUUUUUGAAAAUAUAUCAAAAACAUGGGUCAAAAAUUGGGUAGCAACAGAUGCCCCCUCUUUACAAUGCUUACGAAGCAAAAAUCCUCGAUGUUUUGCAUAGUAAGCUUUGUAAAGAAAAACUUGUCUUUCUAUUUGCUCAAUAUCCACUUCAUCAGCAAUCUUCCCUUUUUUUUAUUAUCCUGAGAUCCCAUCUGGCGACCUCCUUUAAACAAAACCAAAGAAUGUGUGUAACUCGGUCAACCUGAAAUCCCAUAUGGAGAUUCCCUUUAACCAAAGCUACAUGAGAUCCCAUCUGGCGACCUCAUUCAACUGGAACAAAAGAAUGUGUAAAAAGUGGUCUCAUUAUAAUGGGUGACCUACCCAAGUGGAAAGGAGGAAGAGUGGUCUCAUUCUUUGGGUGACCUACCCAUGGGGAGGAAUGGCCUCAUUCUUAUGGGUGACCUACCCAGGUAAAAAAAAAUGGAGAAUGGUCUCAUUCUAAUGGGUGACCUACCCAGGAAUAAAAAAUGGUGGUCUCAUUGUGAUGGGUGACCUACCCAAGUGGAAAGGGGGGAGAGUGGUCUCAUUCUUUGGGUGACCUACCCAGGGGGAAGAAUGGCCUCAUUCUUUGGGUGACCUACCCAGAUAAAAAAAAAGAUGGAGAAUGGUCUCAUUCUAAUGGGUGACCUACCCAGAAAAAAUGAUGGUCUCAUUGUGAUGGGUGACCUACCCAAGUGGAAAAAGGAAGAGUGGUCUCAUUCUUUGGGUGACCUACCCAGGGGGAGGAAUGGCCUCAUUCUUAUGGGUGACCUACCCAGGUAAAAAAAAGAUGGAGAAUGGUCUCAUUCUUUGGGUGACCUACCCAGAAAAGAUGAUGGUCUCAUUGUGAUGGGUGACCUACCCAAGAUGGAAAAAAAUGUGAAGUGUGGUCUCAUUGUAAUGGGUGACCUACCCAGAUGGAAAAAAUGUGAUGAAGUGGUCUCGUUGUGAUGGGCGACCUACCCAAAUAGAAAGAAUAUGAAGUGCGGUCUCAUUGUAAUGGGUGACCUACCCAGAUGGAAAAAAUAUGAUGAAGUGGUCUCGUUGUGAUGGGCGACCUACCCAAAUAGAAAGAAUAUGAAGUGCGGUCUCAUUGUAAUGGGUGACCUACCCAGAUGGAAAAAAAAUGAAGUGUGGUCUCAUUGUAAUGGGUGACCCACCCAGAUGGAAAACAAAUGAUGAAGUGGUCUCGUUGUGAUGGGCGACCUACCCAAAUAGAAAGAAUGUGAAAUGCGGUCUCAUUAUGAUGGGCGACCUACCCAGAUGGAAAAAAAUAUGAUAUGACAAGUGUGAAAAAUAGGACUUACCUGGCGAAGUCCUGAAGGGAUGACAGAAGAAGGGCUGGAAAAACUUGGUGCUUCCUGAUAAUUCCCGAUCAUAGGGUUUGAAAAACUCGGUGUUUCCUGACUGCAAGGGUUGAAAACUUGAGGCUUCCCGAUUGCAAGGUUGAUCUUUUCAUUUCUUUGGGAUUUUCCUAAUGGUAAGGUUUAUCCCAUCAUCCUUUUAUUCCAUGAUCAAAACCGAUUCUUUAUUAUCAUCACCACAAUGCUUCUUUCUCUUUCCACCAUCUUGCUGGACCUCAUCAAGGAUUUUCCUGUAACAAUUCAAAAAUAUGUGCAAAUGGUUUUUUUUUUUUUUUUUUUUUUUUUUUUUUUUUUUUUUUUAGGUUAGAUGAUAUGCAUGCAUCCUUACCUGAUUUGAAAUAUAGGUCCUCCCCUCUUUGAUGCUCCAUCGUCAUAGGGUACCUUUGUUUUCAUCUCAAAGCUUUCUUUGUUCUUCUAAGGAAUUGACUCUUUCAUAUGCUAGCCAUCCACUCAGCUGUAAAUGCAAUGCCCAUCCCGGGCUGUCUUUGACAAUUACUGCUCGUAUCGCUCAUCAAGCUUGACAAUGCCCCCAAGUGUGGUGUUGCUUGAUUCAUCAUGAAGAAUUUUCUCUCUUGGAUUCUUCUGAGGAUUAUCCUUUGAUUGAUUGUGUGCAUCAUGCCAACAUCCAUCAAGAUUGUUAAUUAGUCAUGAACUUGCCUUCGGUUGAAACACCAUUCAAGUAUGUAUGGUCCCCAGCCUUCAUGGAACUGCCAAGUCAUCCAGACAUGAAUCUCAUGUUUUGCAGUAAACAGCUCAUCAUUGUAAGCGCGAUGUAUUUCUCUAUGGAUUCCUCCUAGCUUGUCAAAUCAGAUCGUAAAAAUAACUGCUUUGGCAUCAUCAAUGAUGUUCAUGUUAUCACCCAUAUUCAUGCGGUGAAGUGUGCAUUUGAGCUUCAAAACAAAUGGUCCCACAGUCAGUCUUGGUGGGUGCAUCCUUCCAGCAUUCAUGCACAUGCAACUAUGUGAUAACAUCGUUCAAAAAUCAUAACCAUGUUGAAGAUGAUAAACCAAGAUGAAGAUAUGAAAAUAUCCUUCUAGUGCAGCGUUGCUCAUCAAUUGCUGCUGAAGUGCACUAGAUCAUGGAUUGUCUUUGAACAACAUUGCCCCCAAUAUGAUCUGAAGGUUCGUUCAUCGGUUUAUACUCAAGAAGGUUUUUCUUUGUCAUUGUCAGAUGCUAAACAUAACUUUGAUGAACUUUGACGACUCAUCAUCUGAUUCUUUCUUUGCCCCCAGCUGAUUAGAAUGUUGUUUGUUUUCUUCCAAAGGUCCACUGUAUUGCCCCCAAGUGGUCAACGUUUCAAGGAGUGUCGAGAAAAUAUUGAUGUCAUUUUUUUCAAGGAUUUUGCAAACUCAAUUGAUGUUCUUGUUUGAAAAUCUUUCUUGUUCUGGAAUCAAAUCUCAUACUUCAAAGGUCAUGUCUAUUCAAGUCUAAUUGUUGAAAUGAAAUCAAAGAGAUAUCAGUUUUUGAAAAGUAUUAUUUUUCUUUUGAAAUUCAAACUUCUUUGGUCAAAGACCCAACACACUACUCAAUGCAGUCCUUUGAUUGUCUUGUAUUUUGAAAAUAGAAUGACCCGUUGUAAGAUUUAAAAUGACUUUUUCAUGGUUCUUUGUGUCCACUUUAAACUCUGAUUUUGGGUAUAUCUUUUGAUGGUCUGUGAUGAGGUGACAUUUUUAUGAAUUUCAAAAACAAGAUGCUCAGGCUUUAUCAAGAAAGGUUGUUUCUUUUCUUUAGCAUUUAUUUUAUCAGCAUGCAUAAUAACCAGUAGCUUAAUUCAUGAAGUCACGACCCUUAUGGAAAAGCUCUUCAAGUUUUGAGAGCGCCAUUUAUCGGUUCAAAUUGCUUGCUUGAUUAAAAAGGGCUUUUAAAAGCAUGUAAUGCAGGCUAUGGUUCAUGGCUAUGAAAGAAAAGAAUUUUAAAGGCUCAAAAGGUGUUUGAGGGUUUCAACGACUUAGGAUCAACAUCAAUUAUUCAUCGAUUCUCUUUCUCUUGUCGUCAUGGUAGAGAAAAUGACAUAUAACCUUGUUAAUCUCAAAUAUCAGAAUUCUCUUAACAUAGGUCAUAAUGCAAAUCCAACUUUUCUUUGAUGAAUAACCAAUCUAAAAUUUUUUUUUAAAGACAUUAGAGGCUUUAUCCUAGACACACCAAAAGAUAUGAAGCAUCGAUUUUUCUAGUGUUGUCUUUUGGCAUUUAUUGUCUUUUCUCAAUUGAAAGUUGUCUUGCCUCUCUUAGAAUUGGUAGGCAUUUUCUUUCAUUUCCUCAAAGUUUUUCUUGGAUGGCCCUCAAUCUAUGGAUUUUCUUCUUCUAGCCCUUUCUCAAACAUUGGACUUUUGUUCUAAGCCUUCCCCUUUAUCCAUUAAUCAUAUCAACGUCUCCAAAAUAUCUCUUGUUUGCCCCAGUGUGGGGUGUGAUCCUAGUCAGGGUUUUUAGAAAAAAAAUAUUCUAUCCAGCUCAAAAUGGGACUACAAGGGAGAUAAUUUUUAGAAAGUGAAGGGAUAUCAAAGAUGGCCUUUUCUCAUUUCAAGCAAAGUCGGUUAGAACCGAUCAAUUUUGACCUCAUCUAGUGUAAUGAUUUGGACUUGUAAGAGUCAAUGAUUCACGAGUCCAUAACUACCGAAACCACUACAUGUCAUUAUGCAUACUGCUAAAACUUAGCUAUAUGAUGUGUGGUUCAAUUUUGUGUGUGAGCUCAAAAUUUGUUUGGUCACCUCAUGUCAUUUCAAACAAGAAUCGAGUCAUUUCUGCAAUCAAAACACUUUUAAUCUUCAGGAUUGACUAGCCUUUAUCGCAUGUUUGAGUUUGAUCAAAAUAUUUUGUUAGAAUAAAACAUUAAACAUCUGUUGAUUUCAAAACAACAAAGAAACAAAAGCAAAACAUGUUUCAGUAAAGGAUGAGAUGUGAUCCAAAAACAAAAUGCAGAAUUCCAUAACAAUAUGAUUGACUAUUCAUCACCAUUCUUGAAUAAGCUUUUCUGGCAAUAUCUGCGUUUUGCCAAGCACUUUCGAUCAACAUGUCAUUCUGAGGAUGUUCUGGCGACAACAUGAUUGAUGACAUCAUCUUUCACAAACUCAGCUCGAUUCUUGAAACUAUUGUGAUUCAACUGAAAUGGUCCGGGAAACCUCCAUGAUAUUCACAUCUGGUUUGAAUUAUACCACGGUGGUUGCAUGCAAUUGGUCGAAGUCUGGGACACUAAAUCUGAAAUCUGGCAGUGCUGGUCGACAAACUUAAGUGGCAGAGGAAUGUCAAUCUUGGCAAAGACAUUUGAGCAAUUGACGCUAUCGUGAGACCUGGCUAGACCACAUAAUUAAGGGUUCACACCGUCGAAGUCAUCUCCUGAUUCACUUAUCAUCAUUGCACUAGAAUCCAGGGCAGAUCCUUCAAUCUUUCCUCUCUUCAUAGCUUGUUCAAUUCUUCGGCAAAUCCUCACAACAUUAUUUCAAUCUUCCAAUGUUGUUGUGGUUGGUUGAGGAUUGUUAGAAAACUUUCCAACGGCUUGGUAAUCUUGGCAGCGCCCAGAAACUUGUAGUAUCGCCACUACCGACACGUGGAAUCAUGCCUUAUCUCUUCUAUGGGAGAAAACGAUGAACAUGAAUCUCCUUUAUUUCUUCUUCGAUUCCUCUCGAAUGGUGCGGCAAACAAGCACCAAUAGAGGGAGUUCUGCUCUGUUGAAGUUUCAGUCUUCUUCAUGUUUUUUCAGUCUAGGCAUGUCUCUUCUGAGUAUUUUGCGUUUUAAAAAAAAACUGACACUGUUGGAGGAAAAUCAUAGAUGAUCUGAAACUGCUGUAUUCCUUAUUGGAUUUCCCACUUGCGGAUCCACAAACAGAUUCCUGCCGAGAGAGCUCUGCUAUGUUGAAGUUUGAUGUCUGCUCAUAUUUUUCAGACCAGGUCUGGCUCUUCGACCUACUAAGAGGUCUUCGUGCUGAAACUGAUGAGAGAAAUAUUUGUAACCUAUGCAACUUAUACAUCCCCUCUUGCAUUCUCAAUUUGCAGCAUCAUAAACAGAUUUUUGUAGAAAGAGCUCUGCCACGUUGAAGUUCGACGACUGCUCAUGUUUUCAGACUAGGCCUAAGUCCUCUGACUGCUACAAUGUUUUGCUCGUUUCACUAGUGGGAAAAAAAUUUCAAAGCAUAUGAAAUUAAUACAUCCCCUUUUUGCAUUUCUCAUUGGCAGAUCCACAAAUAAAUCUUCUACAGAGAGCUCUACCGCGUGGAAGUUCAGUGUCUGAUCAUGGUUUUUUAGACCAACCUCUUGUGCUGCUGAACUGGAAUUGAGCUCAUAAUUGGGGUAACUUGAAAACAGACUGAUGCACCAUGAACAGGAGGCUACUAGUCGUUUGGUUCCAUUAGAUGAUGUGGAGGCAAUGAACAUUUAACAGUGCAACUUUGAUGCUCUCAAACUCAAACUGAUAAUGAGCCUCUAUCUGACACUUUUCUUCACCUCCAUCAUUUUUCUUCAAUCACGUGCAGCACAGCUUGUGCGGGGGAACCUACUUUUCAACCCGGUACAUGCAUGAUAAAUGUAUGAAUAUGUAAUCUAUAUGACGAACUCACCCUUCGAGGGUGACAAUAUGGUCGUAACUCUUGUAUGAUGGAACAAGAAUCGUGAUUUUUGCCCAAACUCUACAAUGAAAAUUUUCUGAGUGAUGGCCAUUGUGUCACCCACAAGUCUUGAGUUCAAGAUGCUUCAAGAAGGGUUUGCUCGGAUGCAAAACAAUAGCACAUACAUCCUAAAAACAGGCUCUAUUUAUUUUAUGUGAGACAGGGUAGGUUUGCUACUUGGUCUCUAAAAGGGUCUCUUGUUGUCCCAGUGAUCGCCUUCGUAAAGCCAAUAUAGGGGCCCAGUAGGUAAUUGGUUGGCACGUGUCCAACUAUUACCAGUCUAAGCACUCAACAAAGAGUUGGGGUUUACACAAACUUAAACCUUGACUCAAGUCGUAAGGUAAGCUGCUAGUCCCCCACCUAACCUAAAGCUUGUGUGUGCUUUCAAAAAUUAAAACUUGUGAUGCAUGAGAGAAUUAUAUACAAUGCAUGAAUAAAACACAAAUAAAUAAAACAAAACACAAAAAAAAAAAUUGACCACAUCAAAACACAAAGCUUAGUCCGAUAAAGUUGAAAACAAUACCUGUCCCCAGUGGAGUCGCCAUCCUGUCGCACCCCAAAAAAAUCGCGCGACAUCGGCUGGCGAUUUUUAUCGUUUGUUGCGUUUGCUUUGAAUUCGUUCGUGGGAGUCGCCACCAAGUAAUUUAUUAAGGGCUACUAGGAAACCUGAUGUACUGGUCUUGUCAGAGAUCGCGGGUAAGGGACUGGUUGUGGUUAGGGAAGGUAUUAACACCCCUAACGCACCCUACCUGAGGUAAGCUGCUUUGUUUUCUGAUGUAGUUUGAAAAUUUAAAAUAUUAAUUAAAUUCUAAAGCUUGAAUAAAUCAGUUAUUAAAUCCCCGAAUAUAUGUAAAAACUUGUUCUUACAUUUUCAUGGAAAAUACAACUUGAUUUUAUUUGUCCUUGAGAUAUUUAACCAUUUUUAAAAAAAUUUAAAAUAUUAAUUAAAUUCUAAGGCUUGAAUAAAUCAGUUAUUAAAUCCUCGAAUAUAUGUAAAAAACUUGUUCUUACAUUUUCGUGGAAAAUACAACUUGAUUUUAUUUGUCCUUAAGAUAUUUAACCAUAUUUAAAUUAACAAUUAAUUCUUUUUGUCUUUUUUUUAUUUUUUAUAAUUCAAUGUCAUAAGAAAAAAAAUACAAACACACAGCACAAUUUUUUUAUUAUUUAUUUUUCUUUUCUUUUCCAUCACAUUUAUACAAUACAAAUUCAAAACAUCAAAAUAAAAAUUACAUUAAUUAAUUUAAAAUUUACAAAAAAACAGCCCCAACACAAUCUGGAAUUUAUGGGGCACCACCAGAACAGUGUUGGAAACAUAUUCUAGGAAGCUGAACACUGGCGGCGCGUCUUCCCACACGCCACCGUCACUGGCGGCGCGUGGGUUCACACGCCGCCGAUGGAAAACCUGAAAAACAGAGGGGGCUAGAGCGGCUCCUUCUCCUCUUCCUUUCCUCGCCGACGGUGAAGGUCACCGCCACCUGCAACAAGAGAAAAAACUCACAAACAGCAGUUCGUUUUAAUUUUUUUUCUUUCCGUUAUAGAUCUGCUUCUCUUUGAUCUGAUUUUCUGCAGAUCGGUUCGCCCUUCUUCAGAUCGACUUUGCCCCCGGUCAGCCUCUACUUCGGGCGGCGCUGUUGGGGUCGCUUCUGUGGUCGUUGUUGCUGGGUUCUUCGGUGGGAGGAGGCUGAUUGGUGGACGGUGCUGAUGGUUGUGGGCGCCGCUGUGUUCAGCCUGCUACUGGAGGAGAGGAUGGAGCCGGGUCUGCUGUGGUGGCUGGUUUGGGAAAGAAAAAAAAUGAAAACGGGGAGGGGGCUGCUCUGGUUUGGGAGAAGAAGCUGGAAAUGUGCAAACAAAAGGGGGGUCUUUUCGUGUCUUCUCUGGUGGUCUUUUUGACCAAGAAAAUGGGAAAGCUUUGGGCGGCUUGUGGGUUUUAUUUCUCUCCGGUUGUCUUUUCUCUGGUUGUAUUUUUUUUUGCGGAGGGGGAAUCGGCUGGAAGGAGAAAAUGGGGGACCGACUUCUGUGUGGCAGGUCUUGGGCGGGUGACUUUUAGUGCUCCCUAGCUCUUGGUGUUGAAGACCGCCGGCUUGUUUUUUUGGCCAGGAGAGGGAGAGUUUUGUGUAAAAAUGGGGGAGAAGGAGAUGAUCUCAAAGGAGCUGGGGAUCGUGGGUCUCUGCCCACUGCUCUCGAGAACCGGCGAAAAAAAUGGCUCCAAUCUCCCUCUCUUGCAAAACUGAGAAUGAGAAGAAAUAGGGACUUUUCUCGUGAGGAGAGCCAACAAGGAAAAGAAGUCCUGGGUGGGGGCUGAGUUCAUCAUUUUUAGCCGAAAGAGAGGGAUUAAAUAAUGGUCUUGGGCCAGGGGCAACGGCUAGUUUCGGGUGAAGAGAAAAAAAAAAAUUCUUAGGUUGCCCCUUCUUCCAAAAUUCAAAAUUCGAUAUACAUAGGCAAAAAUAUUGUUUCGGCCUCAAAAUUGGUCCCUUAAUUUUUUUUUUUUUGUAAAAUUUGAUUUUUCUUGUUUUUUU
RNAcentral lists this long non-coding RNA (9511 nucleotides) under Populus tremula. RNAcentral's name for it is "long non-coding RNA (PTRE_LNC001580)". The record is from RNAcentral. Lineage: Eukaryota; Viridiplantae; Streptophyta; Magnoliopsida; Malpighiales; Salicaceae.